Molecule: non-coding RNA, 226 nt
Filed under: Virgibacillus sp.
Lineage: Bacteria; Bacillati; Bacillota; Bacilli; Caryophanales; Bacillaceae
Description: T-box sequence
Rfam family: T-box leader
About the family: Uncharged tRNA acts as the effector for transcription antitermination of genes in the T-box leader family. T-boxes are found upstream of many aminoacyl-tRNA synthetase genes and some amino acid biosynthetic genes usually in Gram-positive bacteria.
Source: RNAcentral
UAAAAAGUAAUGACAGGAAGUAGUAAUAAUACAUCUUUCUUUAGAGAGUCGAUGGUUGGUGAAAAUCGAUGUAAGGGUAUUGUGAAUCCAUCCUUGAACUGGUCUAUGGAACCCGGCAUGUCCGUAAGUAAGUAGACCCGGCUAUGUACCGUUAAUAACUGUGAGCCGGAAGAGUUUUUCUCUUCAACAAGGGUGGCAACGCGGGAAUUAUACUCUCGUCCCUAUU